CGGCGGACGGGUGAGUAACACGUGGGUAACCUGCCUGUAAGACUGGGAUAACUCCGGGAAACCGGGGCUAAUACCGGAUGGUUGUUUGAACCGCAGGUUCAGACAUAAAAGGUGGCUUCGGCUACCACUUACAGAUGGACCCGCGGCGCAUAGCUAGUUGGUGAGGUAACGGCUCACCAAGGCGACGAUGCGUAGCCGACCUGAGAGGGUGAUCGGCCACACUGGGACUGAGACACGGCCCAGACUCCUACGGGAGGCAGCAGUAGGGAAUCUUCCGCAAUGGACGAAAGUCUGACGGAGCAACGCCGCGUGAGUGAUGAAGGUUUUCGGAUCGUAAAGCUCUGUUGUUAGGGAAGAACAAGUGCCGUUCAAAUAGGGCGGCACCUUGACGGUACCUAACCAGAAAGCCACGGCUAACUACGUGCCAGCAGCCGCGGUAAUACGUAGGUGGCAAGCGUUGUCCGGAAUUAUUGGGCGUAAAGGGCUCGCAGGCGGUUUCUUAAGUCUGAUGUGAAAGCCCCCGGCUCAACCGGGGAGGGUCAUUGGAAACUGGGGAACUUGAGUGCAGAAGAGGAGAGUGGAAUUCCACGUGUAGCGGUGAAAUGCGUAGAGAUGUGGAGGAACACCAGUGGCGAAGGCGACUCUCUGGUCUGUAACUGACGCUGAGGAGCGAAAGCGUGGGGAGCGAACAGGAUUAGAUACCCUGGUAGUCCACGCCGUAAACGAUGAGUGCUAAGUGUUUAGGGGGGUUUCCGCCCCUUAGUGCUGCAGCUAACGCAUUAAGCACUCCGCCUGGGGGAGUACGGUCGCAAGACUGAAACUCAAAGGAAUUGACGGGGGCCGCACAAGCGGUGGA
Molecule: ribosomal RNA, 856 nt
Filed under: Bacillus velezensis
Lineage: Bacteria; Bacillati; Bacillota; Bacilli; Caryophanales; Bacillaceae
Description: bacterial SSU rRNA
Rfam family: Bacterial small subunit ribosomal RNA
Source: RNAcentral